Molecule: ribosomal RNA, 253 nt
Filed under: uncultured bacterium
Lineage: Bacteria
Description: partial 16S ribosomal RNA
Rfam family: Bacterial small subunit ribosomal RNA
Source: RNAcentral
UACAGAGGGGGCAAGCGUUGUUCGGAAUUACUGGGCGUAAAGGGCGCGUAGGCGGCCCGCUAAGUCGAACGUGAAAUCCCCAGGCUUAACCUGGGAACUGCAGUCGAGACUGCUUUGCUUGAGUAUGGGAGAGGGAGGUGGAAUUUCCGGUGUAGCGGUGAAAUGCGUAGAUAUCGGAAGGAACAUCAGUGGCGAAGGCGACCUCCUGGACCAAUACUGACACUCAAGUGCGAAAGCGUGGGGAGCAAACAGG